CUAUAUAGAGCAUCAGAACACUAAAUUCUUUGACUACACUGACCCUCGGCAGCAUUACUAACAUAUCUAUUCUUGUUUCUGGUACAUCAGAAAUUACUGGUUCAGUGCUGCCAUCAGAAGAAAGGCACCAGAGCUGCAAAGGAGAUUUUUACCUGAACAGCCUGAUUAUAUCAGGAUUGGAAUUCUUGUUCUUCCCAAUGAAAUGCUGAAUUUCAGAAAAUUGCUUCAAACAACCUGGACAGAAGUGCUCUUCCUGGGUUUUACAGACACGUAAUGUCUACUUCUGAAUCAAGACCUCCUGCAGAAUUCUCGAGAAGAAUGUUUGAAUGCUACAGCUGCUUGCUCAUCCUCAGCCAAAUUCAGAUCUCUUAAAAUUCAGCACAGUCCUAUAUGCAGAACAGAGAAAACCACCAAGUUUAGCCCACUGACGUUUCAGUAAUUGUUGGGACACAGACUGUAAGUAGCUAUGUGUUACCUCAGGAUCACAUAUAUCACAGAAUCACAGAAUAAGCUGAGUUGGAAGAGACUCCCAAGUCCAAUUCCCAGCCCUGCAGGAGACCAACCCCAAGAGUCACAAGUCUGUAUACCUAUUCAUUAUAAACAGUAAUGCAUUACUUAAGUUAUAAGUAGUUUAUGUGUUAUCUGCCAGAAAAAUAAAUGAGAUCUCUUUAUUUGCAUUUAAAGUUGUGCUGUUAUUUGAUAAAUUAAACCCGAAGUACAUAUAGAGGUUUAUUCUAUACACUGUUUUAAUUUAGUCUGAAAUAUUUUAGGAUUUCAAAAUUGGUUUCUUUUUCUGCAUUUUAGGCAAAAUCUAAUGAAAAUAAUAUUUUCUUUAAAAUAACCUUUUCCUGAAGUUGUAUUUUAUUGUUUAUUAUUUCAUAAUUUAUGAAAAAUAUGUAAGUACCAUUAAAAUUACUAAUAAAUCAUCCAAGUUCCCACUGACAGAACAAGCUUCAACAAAUAGCUAUAUUACCCAAGAAAUUAAAGAACAAAAAAAAUGCGCCAACAAAAAUUUGACAAAUCUGCAGAUACAUUAGAGAUGUUUUGUUCCAUUAAGGGAAAAAAAUAUGCUGACUAGCAUGAAAAGGUCACCAUUCCAAUGAUAAUCCUCAGUAACUACAGAGUCUGCUUAUGUCAGUGCCAGCUACCUGCUGAACAGUUUACAGGGCACCUGGGGAGGAUUUUAGGCCUGAUCAGUCUCAACCACGACCUUGAUCUUGUGCAGGCCACUGAUCCUGUAAUUUAUCUGCCUUAGAAUAACUCAGUUUAUGCUGUGACAUGGAAGAUGACCCAGCCUGAACCCAAAAAGAUGAAAGUGUAAGGGUAACAGCAUCUGUUUUAUGCACCUUGUUCUAGCACUCCUCAGCUGCAAUUAAAAAUGAGAGUCAGCAACCACCUGGUUCCUCCUAAAUAAAUUGUGGUUCUCUUAAUAUACUAUAUUCUGUAAUAAACACCUUAAAUAAUCCUGAUUUGCUACAAAACCAGCAAUCCUGUCCUAUCUUUAGCUUUGCUUACAGCUCCCUAUACAAUAAUAUAUCUUGAAUGAAUUACUAGACUUGCACUGACAUGUUGCAGAAAAUUAAAUUGGAUUAGAUACCAUAGGAUUUGUAUAACAGACAUAGUACUUUCUUCCCUUUGCCAGAAGCACCCCACAAAUGCCACAAAGGACUGACUAACCCUUCUGCAUCAGUUCUAUUAAUCAGCAAGUCCCUUAUAUCUGGUGAUGUGCAUUUUAUACAUUGUGAUUGUGUUUUUCCCCUCUAUUCCCUUUGUUGUUUCCCUUUCUUUCUCUCUCUCUAAUUAACAGGAAGGAAAAUGCCUUCUGUACUAUACCUCUCUAUACUGUGUGGGAAGGCUUAAGGACUCCAAGCAUUUUGCUCAAAGUCUAUUUCCUACCAUUCAAAUUAAA
Long non-coding RNA from Passer domesticus (house sparrow), 1909 nucleotides. RefSeq lists it as uncharacterized. Lineage: Eukaryota; Metazoa; Chordata; Aves; Passeriformes; Passeridae. The record is from RefSeq and is a predicted model, not a curated record. The transcript is spliced from 4 exons.